Molecule: long non-coding RNA, 503 nt
Filed under: Salvia miltiorrhiza (redroot sage)
Lineage: Eukaryota; Viridiplantae; Streptophyta; Magnoliopsida; Lamiales; Lamiaceae
Description: long non-coding RNA (SMIL_LNC001485)
Source: RNAcentral
GGAGAUCGAGGAAGAUGGAGGCGGCAGCCUUCCAGCCGUGAGUUCGCCGGAGAUGAGUCGCAGCGGCCGGAAGAGAGAGAGAGAGAGAUCGCCGCUGCUGAGUGUGUUCCCGGUGACUGGCGUGUGUGUGUGCGUGCGUCUGUGAGUGUGAGAGUGACGAGAUGGGGGGAUGGCGCAGCUAGGGAGGAAGGAGAAGAAGGGUGGAGUGUUGGGCUUGGGUUGGGCUUAGAGGUUUGGGCUUGAGGGACUUGGGCCGAGUAUUGGGCCUAUUUUUAAAUAGUUUUGGGCUGCGAUUUUUUUAAAAGCUUGGGCCGAUUUUUUUUAAUUUUAUUUAGCUGGACCCGAUUCAUUUUAUUCAGUUUGGGCCAUUCCUAUUUUAUUGAGUUGGGCCUCAUCUUUUAAAUUUAUAUGGACUAUUAUUUAUUUAAGCAUGGGCUCUAUUUCAUCUAUAUAAAUGGCUUCCCUAUUUUAUUUAAUUAGACUAUUAAUUAGUUUGAUUAAUU